RNAcentral lists this ribosomal RNA (452 nucleotides) under uncultured Chitinophagaceae bacterium. RNAcentral describes it as "bacterial SSU rRNA". It matches the Rfam family "Bacterial small subunit ribosomal RNA", at positions 342 to 791 of the family's 1533-position model. Lineage: Bacteria; Pseudomonadati; Bacteroidota; Chitinophagia; Chitinophagales; Chitinophagaceae. The record is from RNAcentral.
CGGGGGGCAGCAGUAAGGAAUAUUGGGCAAUGGACGAAAGUCUGACCCAGCCAUGCCGCGUGAAGGAUGACGGCCCUACGGGUUGUAAACUUCUUUUCUCUGGGGCGAAAACCUUCCAUUCUUGGGAAUUUGACAGUACCAGAGGAAUAAGCACCGGCUAACUCCGUGCCAGCAGCCGCGGUAAUACGGAGGGUGCAAGCGUUAUCCGGAUUCACUGGGUUUAAAGGGUGCGUAGGUGGGCCUGUAAGUCAGUGGUGAAAUCCCCGAGCUUAACUUGGGAACUGCCGUUGAUACUAUAGGUCUUGAAUCUCGAGGAGGUAAGCGGAAUAUGUCAUGUAGCGGUGAAAUGCUUAGAUAUGACGUAGAACACCAAUUGCGUAGGCAGCUUACUACACGAGCAUUGACACUGAGGCACGAAAGCGUGGGGAGCAAACAGGAUUAGAUACCCCAGU